Syngnathoides biaculeatus (alligator pipefish) is the source of this 5674-nucleotide long non-coding RNA. RefSeq lists it as uncharacterized. The record is from RefSeq and is a predicted model, not a curated record. The transcript is spliced from 6 exons. NCBI's taxonomy places the organism in Eukaryota, Metazoa, Chordata, Actinopteri, Syngnathiformes, Syngnathidae.
AAUUUAUUUCUGUGUCAAAUGGCAUAGUUUGUAACCUUUUAAUUGUGGCAACUGUUAUGCCAUCUGAUCUUUCCAUCAGAAAUGCUCAAAGUGUUGUCUUGCCUAGGAGCCAUUGGACUCCUCCAAAAGGUGGGUUUUUUGUAUUUUAAAAUGUAAUUUAUUCUGCGGUUGUACAGUACAUGGAGAACAGUAAUCGACAAACUGAUGAAGUUGAAGUUGAACUCGGCAUACAGCAUAUUUUUCUCCAAGACUCAAUCCUGUUCAGGGUUAUGAGUUGGAGCCUAUCUCAGCUGACUUUAGGGGAGAGGCUGACAUGACCAUGGACUGGCUGCCACAAUUUAUCUGACGAACAGCUAAAGAAAGACAUCUUACCCCUUACUGGUUCAAAUUAUCUAACCCUUCCCACAGAGGGUACAAGGUUUUUCAAAAGAAUGUUGAUUGAUUCAAUAAAUUCAAGUAGAAAUAAAUGAAGGCUAGUGUAGAGCACGAUACAUGAUCAUGUCACUGUCAAUACUCCUCUGUCUCCCAGGUUGCCUCAUCAGAAAACACACUGACCACAGAUUGUGUUGCUCUGACUCAUUGUGUUAUCAAGAUGACACAGUUCGGCCACAUAUUUGGCUCUCAUGAGGUAGAAGGUAGGAUGGUAUUUACGCAUUGGAUGCAGGAGGAGAUAGAGUAGAAGGUGAAGAGAAAUGCCAGUUAAAAAGAGUGCUUUUCUGCAAGAAAAUACAGUAAGAGCAAAACUGUAAAAAAGUCUGUGGAUGUCCUUUCUACAACAUGAUUCCAAAGAGUUCAUCUCUGUGUGUUCAGCAUUUUAUACUUGGUUUCUCACCCAUGUGUUUGUGUGACACAGGACGGAUCUCAAUGACAAAAGACAAGAGAUGAAGGGUGGAAGGUGAGGCGACAGCCACAGUUUUAGUUCGAAUGGAGGGGAGGCAUUUCCUGGCCUGUAAACAUUGUUUUUGAUUUUCUUCACCUCUUGGCUUCGAGCACUGUCUUUGUCAAACUCCAUUUUGGCCCAGCGUUUUAUUUUCCCAAAUGGGAUCCAGGAUAAAUAAGAUUAAAGCAUCAGCAUAAGUAACCUUGCUUUAAUGGUCUUUGGAGUGUUUUCAUGCAGCGCUGUUGUCAUCCUUACUGCCCAGCGGCAUGUCAGAUAUAAAACAUGAACAUUUGAAGCAGCGUGAUUACAGGACACAGUUUGAUUGACUUUGAUCUUCGUGAUCAUGAUGUCAUCACCAGAAAACAGCAGCUUCCCCAAGGAAGGAGUAUCAUUAUUUCACUUUCGUGUGAGGUCACCGCUCCUAUAACAUUGUUACUGUUGUUGCUUAUGUUCCACGGCACGACAACACGAUGCCAUUUAUUGACCUCUGUCCACAUUUCUGCAGUGUCCUUAAUGGCUGCUUACGCUUCCCCGCAGACUCGGUGUUUGUUAAAGAGUUCCUCCAAGGAGAGCCUUCUUUUUCGACAGUUGCUCCUCAACCCUGCCUCCUGCUUGAAUUUCAGCACUUUGUGUCUCUGAUGGAUGACUUCCUGGAGAACAAUGUGCUGUUUUGGGUUGAGGUGCAGAGGUACAAGGUACAACACCAUACACAGGACCUGUGUCAUUCUAACAGUGAUGAGGUCACAAUUCAGCAAAAGAUCUCCACAAGUGUUUCACCAACUCAUCCACACCACCAGUCCUGCAGAUAGGUAUCCCUCUGGAACAGGCGCAGCACAUUAUGGAGAAACGCCACAAAAUGGCCCCUUACAUCUUCAGAGAAGCACAGAUCUUGGUGUUCAACAAAUUGCUCUUGGCCAAAGUUUCAGAAGCAUCGGAGCAGUGUACAUGAAGGUCAGUUACUAGAAAUCCUUCAGGAUGAAGGAGUCAAACACAAAGCUACAGUGCAUAAAUAAAGGAGGAAGAGGACGAGAGGAAAAUGUAAAAUGGCUUGAUUUCAGUUCUUUUGAGGAUAAAGAAAUGCAAAAUGAUGACAACAGGUUAGAGAAAAGAGAAGAGGCGAAAAUACAUCAUUAAAGACACAGAGUGGCCUGAUAGUGUUUUCCACAGAACAGUUGUCAUGGUUCUACUCCAAAUACAUGGCAGCACUGAAGAGGAAGGAUGUGCUACAUUCUCAUCCUCCCCAUACUCAGGGUCUUCAGAUGGCAGCGUCGGUUCAACAGGAAGUAAAAGCCACCGAAAGACCUCACAACACAUCUCCAGGUCACACGUGAAACAAUGUCAUUUAUGUGAAAGGAAGUAAACAAAUACCAUUUACAAAUGAGGGGUGGUCUCUACCAAUAUGCAAACUGAAGUAAAGAUGGAGUGGAAGAUGUACGACAACACUUAGACAGAUGAAAUGCCGCGGUGCAGUCGUCCGAUGUAGCAGAUUUUCUGUUGAAUUGAACCCCCUUAUUUUUGAGACCAUAUGCACCCAUAUGACUGUACAGUGCAUAUUUUUUGUGGCCUAAAAAACGCAGUACAGUACAAAACAACUGUAAGUGUAUUUAAAAAAAAUAGAAACUUGUUUGAAAGUUUCCCAUUUUUUUCCCAAAAUUAUCAUGCUGGUUUCCUUGGUCAUGGUGACAUUGUUGAUAUACAGCACUCAUCAUAGGCGAGUCACUUUUCAUGAGCCAAAGGGACUUUUGUGUGCGGCCCAGGUUCAAAUCUGUUGCCAAAGGCGAAUGACUCAACCCCAAAAAAUGUUAGUUCCAAAAAUAGCGUGUUCCAUACUCUAAAGAGUCCUCAAGAGUUAACACAACAGCCAUGAUGCUCUGCUGCGUACAACAAACAAAAGAUACACCAUUGCCACAUAGGGUCGGGAGGAUCAAGUAUUAUUGGAUAUCUUUGCCCUGGGAAUAAGUCAGUCCCCUUCUCUGCCUGCAUUGCACCACAGUGGCAGCACCCAAUAAGAACUAAUGGACUUAAGCAACGGCAUUGUUAGUGACAAGUGGAAAAUGUUUGGGCACAUUGUUCAAACCUGAUGGUCUAUUUUAUCCGAUAUCCAUUAUUUCAGGGUUCAGGAUCAUUUUAUCGAUGGUCCAAUGUAUUACUAAAGCAAAAAAAACCCCACAUAAUUAACCCUUUACUCUCCCUCAAACCUCUACAUCAUUUGGAGCAAUUCACAAUCAUCAUUUAUCUAAUAAGACUAUAACUUCACAUAAAAUCCAUCAUACUCAACAGAGAUGCUCAUUAUUUAUGGAUCCUAAAAGCUAUCCUGCUUUGCACUUCUGAGCUAGUUGGUUAACUAAUUGUGUAGUCAAAGGUAGCUAGUUGUUGUGCUCAUUGGCGUAAAGUGUCGUAUAUGUCUUUUCCAUGAAAAACAAAAACAUUCACAAUCACUGCUAAAACUGUGAAUGUGUCUGGGGCCACCAUUCAUGAUUCUGAAGAUUUUUGUACAUAUUCAUGGCAACACAAAGAAACUGAUAUCUGAUUGGAGCCCCAGCUAAAAAAAAAAAAAAAAAAAGUCCCAUAAACACACCUAGAGGCAAGCGAGCUCACGGCUACACCCGAGCGGCGGAGCGAGCUCGUCAGACUCCACGUCAUUCCACCCGAAGAACCAUCCGAAUAUUCAACAUUAUUUACAGCCACAGGUUCAAUUCUGUAUAGAAGUAUACCUCUGUCUUCCCGAUCAACCGAUACUGCUAUUUCUUCAUUAGAUGAGGAUAAAUCCGAGAAAUCUGCGCUGGGCAUAAUGGUGUCCCAUGUAAUUGAGCGUUUGGAAUGGCAGGUAACACGUCACAUCCACGCACGUAGGUCAUGUGACUCGCGAAAAUGGCAGCACAGCUGAAAAUUCAUAAUUGUCGAUAAAAAUCUCUAAACAAUAUUAAAUGAGAGAUGAUUUAACAUCCCAUUAUCAAGAUAGAGUACAUAUUACAUCACCUAUUGGAUACAUUGUUUCUCCAAACCACCGGAACUUUCCUUUAAAGGGGUGGCAUAACCCUUACUUGAAAUAAUUGCAAGGUUGCAACUCAUUGACUUUGCAUUCUUAAUUUAAAAUGCUUUUCCUGGCGUUCACUGCAGCUUCUUUUAGUUCGUUUGUUUCUGUGUGUUUCUCCUUUUGGACUUCUCUUCAGGAGGUAAAAAGCAUGUUCUAUUGGGUAACUUGGUUAACUGACUUGAUCAGUCUAAGAUCUCCCGCUUGGUCCAAAUUGGUAGCGGUUAAUCCUGGUUUCAUCAGUCCAAUAACACUUUCUUCCAAAAUGUUUGUGGCAAAAUAAUUUCGUCAAUUUACAAAAAAAAAGAAUUCAUCCAAACUAAUCAAGAGAAGCUUGUCAAUCACAGUCCAGUCCAUCACUGGAUCUUCACCCAAUAAUGCAUACAUUUUACCUCCUGAAGACUCCAGGAGAAACACCAGGAAAAAAAAUAUAUAUAUAUAUAUUCUGCAGCAAAGGCAUGAAAAAAUAUUUCAAAUGAUGAAUGCAACAGUCUGGUGAAGUCAAUGGGUUGCAAGCUUGAUGCAGUUAUUUCAAGUAAGCCAUCUGCCAUCAAACAUUUUGAUUCACUUUAAAUUAAUCUGGUCCAAUAAUUUUGCUCACUUGAAAAGCUCUGUCCUGAGUUUUUUUUUAAUUAUAUGAAGAUAUAAAGACUAUGAAAUAGAAGAUCAUCAUCUAAACUUUUGUCGUAUUCAUCUUUUGAUCUGAAAACCAAAUUUCUUCAAUAUACAAGAAAAAAGGAAUUUGCCUUGCCCUUCCAAUAUUUUUGGAGGAGACUGUUUUUAUAGAUUCUUGAUUGUAUGUUUUACAUAGUGGCUCAGUGGAUAACUAGUUAAAGCAGGCAGGUCCAAUCCGUCACUCGCCAAUCGCCAAGGCUGUAUUGGUUGAUCGCGUGCCAAAAAAAAAAAAAGUCAGCCAUCAUCCCUCUCGUCGCUUUAUUCAGGUAUGUCGAGUGACUGACAGUCGGUUUGAUCAAUCCUGGCUUUUUUGAGGUGUCACGAUGCAUGUGCAUUUCCUAUUUCCUGUCUGUCUGUUCCUCUCCCCACUGCAAUAACGGCAAUGCCCCUCCCCCACCUUUGGUGGAUUGUGAGAGGUCGGCUGCUUGAAAAGUAGAUCUCGGGACAAAAAAGUGUUGGCACCCCAGGGUUAGAGCAGACCUCACAAGUCUGAGGAAUGCUGGUGUAGUUUGCAUGUUCUCCCCAUGACUGCAUGGGUUUCCUCUGGAGAUUCAGGUUUCAUCCCACAUCUCAAAAACUUGCAUCGUAGGUUAAUUGGAGAACCUAAAUUGCCCCUAGGUGUGAUUGUGAGUGCGACUCUUGUCUGUCUCCACAUGCCCUGUGAUUGGCUUGCAACCAAUUCAGGGUGUACCCUGCCUCCUGCCCGAAGAUAGCUAGGAUAGGUUCCUGCACUCCUGCAAUGCUUGUGAGGAUAAAUGGCUCAGAAAAUGGAUCGAUGGUUGUUUUACAUACACACAAUGACACACAAAUAUUUUUUUCAUUAUAAAUUAUUUCUAAAUAUAAUUGAAGGCCUAGUAGUGAAGACAGAUAGAUCCCCGAUGUGCAAUGACACUAUAAAAGCCAAAAACAUAAGGGUUGUGCUACAAUGUACAGUGUUGCUGUGAAACAUGGUACAUCAUAUCCUGUGAUCACAAUUUGGUUGGCAGCUGGUGUUUCUGGCUUCAUUCAACAUUAUCGCUAUGUACUGUAUAUACCAUGUACUGUUGUGUGCAGUCACAAGUUCAACUGUUUUGCACCUAUGAAUA